CCAAACACCCCUCAGCCUACCAUGAAAAUAAACACAGAUCUUGAGUUCCUUUAAAGGAAAUUCUAGCUAUCUAUCUAGCCUCCUGAGCAACUUGAUAAGCAAUAAGAUAAUAGUAGCUUGUCACAAUAGCCAAGGAAGUUAGAGUCAGGAAAUGUUUUGUUCAUAUAGAAACUAAAGAAAACAUUUUAUGUUUUUUUUUUUUUUUAACUUUUAGGUUCGGAGGUACAUGUGAAGGUUUGUUACACAGAUCAAAUUAUUACUACUACUGAAGCAAGACACUUUUGUGUAUUCUCCUCACGCUUAUUGAGUCUUGACGUUUCUCAAAGUGGCUGGUGAGAGUAAACACUAUUCCUGGAUCUGGGUGAGUGUGUAUUUUUUCUAGUCUUCUCGUGAUUAUUUGAUCAUCUAGUUUUCUUACACACAUGUGUUGAUCAGUCCUCAGCUGAAUAGUCAAACCACAGGUACCCUUUGAAGAUCCCCAUGGUUCUCACUCCAUACAGCAUUCUCCUCUUUGGUACUCUUUCCUGAGAACUGUGACUGCCUCAGUUACCUAGGGCUUCUCUU
Molecule: long non-coding RNA, 564 nt
Filed under: Callithrix jacchus (white-tufted-ear marmoset)
Lineage: Eukaryota; Metazoa; Chordata; Mammalia; Primates; Cebidae
Description: lncRNA (ENSCJAG00000084988.1)
Source: RNAcentral